AUGCUCCCUGGCUGGCCCAGAGCUGCUGUGACAGCCCUGCAGCCCCCGGGACAGCGGGCACUGGCCCGUUAUGGGCUUAAUUACUGCGGGCUGGGGCUGGGAUGGGAUCAGGGCCUCAUGCUGGGGUGUCAGUUGUCUCUGGGACACGUCCCGGGGCUCAGCGCCGUGCCUUGCAGAGCAUCGUGUCCAAGCACAGCGCGCAGUUCCGGGGCAACGCGCAGCACGACGCCCUCGAGUUCCUGCUCUGGCUGCUGGACCGCAUGCACGAGGACCUGGGCGCCGCCUCGCCCGCGCAGGGGCCCUGCGCCACCGCCGAGCCCGUCCCGGAGCACAGCAGCAGUGCCGGCGGUGCCGCGGCGCCCCGCACGCAGAGCUUCGUGCAGAGCCACUUCCAGGCGCAGUACAGGUGAGCGAGGGCCGAAUCCUGCCCUGGGAGCAGCGCCACAGCCGCGUGGUGCUGCCGGAGGGGGGGACAACCAAGGGCUGGGACCCCCUGGGUCUGCUGGGCUGGGAGGGCUCGGGGAGGAGGGCAGUGAGGGGACACAUCUGGAGGUGCGGAGGAAAGAGAGGGGGGAAAAAUGGAAAGGGGAGGGAAAAGGAGAGGAGAGGAAAGGAGAGGACAGAAAAGGAGAGCAGAGCCGGCUGCUGGCAUUAAGCAUUGAUUUGAGCUGGGCAGUGCUGGGGCUGCGCAGCCAGCACCAGGUCAGCUGCAGUCACUGCGGUGCCAUUGAUAGGGUUCAGAGUGAACGGCCGGCCGGGGCUGUGCGUGGCUCUGGGUAGGCACCGUGGAGGUGACACAAGCNNNNNNNNNNGGCGGCGGGACCGGGAUGGGCACCGGGACCGGGACGGGGCCGGGGAUGGAGGCGGGGACCAGGGUGGGGACCGCGAUGGGGACGGGGCUGGGGACCGUGUCCCGGCCGCCGGGCGCGCAGGGGCUGCGGAACCACGGCAACACGUGCUUCAUGAACGCCGUGGUGCAGUGCCUCAGCAACACCGCCCCGCUCGCCGAGUUCCUCGCCCUCGGCCGCUACCGCGCCCGCGGAGCCCGAGCCGAGGUCACGCAGCGCCUGGCGGCCCUGGUGCGCGCCCUCUGGACCCUCGACUACAGCCCGCGGCUCUCCGCGGAGUUCAAGGUACGGCCCCGACGGCCCCAGCCCGGCCCCAGCCCGGCCCCGGCACCCCACGGCCGCUCAGCAGCUCCCACGAGCCGUGGUGCUGAGCCCCGCGUGGGGCCACGCACGGAGCGCGAGGGCUGAGCCUGGGGCUCCCUCCCGCUGGGUGCUUGCUGCCUGCUGGGCGCGCUCACCCCGGUGUUUUCUUUAUUCCCCUUGCAC
Molecule: long non-coding RNA, 1334 nt
Filed under: Anas zonorhyncha (Eastern spot-billed duck)
Lineage: Eukaryota; Metazoa; Chordata; Aves; Anseriformes; Anatidae
Description: lncRNA (ENSAZOG00000010248.1)
Source: RNAcentral